Molecule: ribosomal RNA, 253 nt
Filed under: uncultured bacterium
Lineage: Bacteria
Description: partial 16S ribosomal RNA
Rfam family: Bacterial small subunit ribosomal RNA
Source: RNAcentral
UACGAAGGGGGCUAGCGUUGCUCGGAAUCACUGGGCGUAAAGGGUGCGUAGGCGGGUCUUUAAGUCAGGGGUGAAAUCCUGGAGCUCAACUCCAGAACUGCCUUUGAUACUGAGAAGCUUGAGUCCGGGAGAGGUGAGUGGAACUGCGAGUGUAGAGGUGAAAUUCGUAGAUAUUCGCAAGAACACCAGUGGCGAAGGCGGCUCACUGGCCCGAUACUGACGCUGAGGCACGAAAGCGUGGGGAGCAAACAGG